AUGCUUACCUGGCAGGUGGCGAUGUCAUGGUCAUGACCGAGGUUUUUCCAGGGCAGGGCUUGUCCAUUGCACUAAGAUUUGCUGGCCGCUGCCAUUUCCCUAGAUGUGGAAAACUCAAUUGCAUCAUUUGAGGUAGUGGAGGACUGCUUUCACACUCUCCUG
Molecule: small nuclear RNA, 162 nt
Organism: Meriones unguiculatus (Mongolian gerbil)
Lineage: Eukaryota; Metazoa; Chordata; Mammalia; Rodentia; Muridae
Gene: U1
Rfam family: U1 spliceosomal RNA
About the family: U1 is a small nuclear RNA (snRNA) component of the spliceosome (involved in pre-mRNA splicing).
Source: Ensembl